CCCUUAGACGUUCUGGGCCGCACGCGCGCUACACUGACACAGGCAACGAGCUUUCCUUUACCGAAAGGUAUGGGUAAUCUUUUGAAACUGUGUCGUGCUGGGGAUAGAUCCUUGCAACUUUUGAUCUUAAACGAGGAAUUCCUAGUAAGCGCGAGUCAUCAACUCGCGUUGAUUACGUCCCUGCCCUUUGUACACACCGCCCGUCGCUACUACCGAUUGAAUGGCUUAGUGAGGCCUCAGGAUCCGCGCUUAAUGUGUGGAGAAUUUGGACAAACUACGUCAUUUAGAGGAAGUAAAAGUCGUAACA
RNAcentral lists this ribosomal RNA (307 nucleotides) under uncultured eukaryote. RNAcentral describes it as "partial 18S ribosomal RNA". It matches the Rfam family "Eukaryotic small subunit ribosomal RNA", at positions 1470 to 1796 of the family's 1831-position model. The record is from RNAcentral.